Molecule: non-coding RNA, 956 nt
Filed under: Osteochilus nashii (Nash's barb)
Lineage: Eukaryota; Metazoa; Chordata; Actinopteri; Cypriniformes; Cyprinidae
Description: 12S rRNA
Rfam family: Bacterial small subunit ribosomal RNA
Source: RNAcentral
ACAAAGGCAUGGUCCCGACCUUACUAUCAGCUCUAACCUAACUUACACAUGCAAGUCUCCGCAGCCCAGUGAAUAUGCCCUCAAUCCCCUGCCCGGGGACGAGGAGCGGGCAUCAGGCACAAAUACUUAGCCCAAAACGCCUAGCCUGGCCACACCCCCAAGGGAAUUCAGCAGUGAUAAACAUUGAGCCAUAAGUGAAAACUUGACUCAGUCAACGUUUAAAGGGCCGGUAAAACUCGUGCCAGCCACCGCGGUUAGACGAGAGGCCCAAGUUGAUAAUAUAACGGCGUAAAGGGUGGUUAAGGAUAGAAAAAAUUAAAGUCGAAUGGCCCUCUGGCCGUCAUACGCUUCUAGGCGUCCGAAGCCCUAACACGAAAGUAGCUUUAAACAAGCCCACCUGACCCCACGAAAGCUGAGAAACAAACUGGGAUUAGAUACCCCACUAUGCUCAGCCGUAAACCUAGACAUUCAACUACAAUAAAUGUCCGCCAGGGUACUACAAGCAUUAGCUUAAAACCCAAAAGACCUGACGGUGUCUCAAACCCCCCUAGAGGAGCCUGUUCUAGAACCGAUAAUCCCCGUUAAACCUCACCACCUCUAGCCACCCCAGCCUAUAUACCGCCGUCGUCAGCUUACCCUGUGAAGGAUAUAGAAGUAAGCAGAGCGGGUAAAACCCAGAACGUCAGGUCGAGGUGUAGCGCAUGAAGUGGAAAGAAAUGGGCUACAUUUUCUACCGCAGAAUAUUACGAAUAUGCACCAUGAAAAAAUGCUUGAAGGAGGAUUUAGUAGUAAAAAGGAAACAGAGAGUCCUUUUGAACUCGGCCCUGAGACGCGUACACACCGCCCGUCACUCUCCCCUGUCAAAAUGCACCAAAAAUACCUAAUACCAUAGCACCGACAAGAGGAGGCAAGUCGUAACACGGUAAGUGUACCGGAAGGUGCACUUGGACCAAACC